UACGUAGGGUGCGAGCGUUAAUCGGAAUUACUGGGCGUAAAGCGUGCGCAGGCGGUUUUGUAAGCCAGAUGUGAAAUCCCCGGGCUUAACCUGGGAAUGGCAUUUGGGACUGCAAGGCUGGAGUGUGGCAGAGGAGACUGGAAUUCCUGGUGUAGCAGUGAAAUGCGCAGAUAUCGGGGAAGAACACCCGUGGCGAAGGCGGUUCUCUGGGACGGUACUGACGCUGAGACGCGAAAGCGUGGGGAGCGAACAGG
This 254-nucleotide ribosomal RNA is filed under the name uncultured bacterium. RNAcentral describes it as "partial 16S ribosomal RNA". It matches the Rfam family "Bacterial small subunit ribosomal RNA", at positions 524 to 776 of the family's 1533-position model. The record is from RNAcentral.